AAGUCGUAACAAGGUUUCCGUAGGUGAACCUGCGGAAGGAUCAUUAACACGUAUCCAAACGUUUCAACCCCCCCCGUGAACCUUCAGCCUGCUCUUUUAACCCGCGUAGUUUGCAAUCUCUGAUAAAUCAUAGCCCGGAAAGUUGUAGUGAUUCAGAGACCUCAUGCUACGUGCGAACAUUGGAACAGUUACAAUCAAGCGGUAGUUCUAUAGGCAAUGUUUCCCCAAGCAGUCAGUGUCGGAAAGUGUCAUUGAUGGGCAGGAGCUUUGCCAAAAGGUCCCCAUGCCCCCUAAUAACCCCACAGUUUAAUGUGAAGCUCAAUGUAAUACAUUGGGUAAAAAAACCGAACAACUGUUAACAAUGGAUAUCUUGGUUCUC
This 379-nucleotide unclassified non-coding RNA is filed under the name fungal sp. Its description in RNAcentral is "partial internal transcribed spacer region". The stretch from base 1 to 46 matches the Rfam family "Eukaryotic small subunit ribosomal RNA", at positions 1786 to 1831 of the family's 1831-position model. Lineage: Eukaryota; Fungi. The record is from RNAcentral.